This 699-nucleotide ribosomal RNA is filed under the name Triticum aestivum (bread wheat). RNAcentral's name for it is "partial small subunit ribosomal RNA". The record is from RNAcentral. Lineage: Eukaryota; Viridiplantae; Streptophyta; Magnoliopsida; Poales; Poaceae.
AUGGAGCACGGGACGUCAUCGGCGGCGGCGCUCUGGGGGCACGAGCACCUCCCGCUGCUGGCCCGCGCGCGCUCCAAGGACUCGGUAGAGUACAUCCUGCAGGCCCUUUGGCGCACCCGCCGCACCGGCCUCGACGCCGCCGACCGCGCCAUCGUCCGCGACAUCCUCCAGCUCCCCUCCGACUCCGAGCUCGACCCCGUCCGUACCUACCCACUUCUCAUCUCUGCUCCCUCUCCCCCUUCCGCGCCGCUGCGCCAGGUGCGAGGCAUUUUUGCAAAAGCAGCUUGGCCCUGUGCUCAAUGCCUAUACUCCUCUCUGUUGCAGCUCUUGGUGUGCCUCCGGAUACUGAUCCGCAGGUGCGUCCAUGACAACAUCGCGAAGGAGGAGAUUCCGAAGCUUUUCCCUGCAGAGGUGCUGCCCGAGCUGCAAAGGCUGCUCACUUUGCUCCUGCAGAAGUUUCAGCCGGAGUGGCGAGAGGACACCUUAAAGGAUCAGGCAUCCGCGGCGAAUUCGGGAACAACAAAAGGCCAUUUGAGUAAAAAUCAAGACGCGUCAGAGCAACCAGCUACUACACAGAUUCACUGUGGUACAUCAUCAGCAAAGCUCUCUUCUGAAUCAGGAGAGAAAGAAGGGAAGCUCCCGUUAGCUAAGGAUUCUUUAGACAAAAUGCUCAACGAUGUAUACCCAAUCAGGGGCUAA